This 452-nucleotide long non-coding RNA is filed under the name Physcomitrium patens. RNAcentral describes it as "long non-coding RNA (PPAT_LNC002844)". The record is from RNAcentral. Lineage: Eukaryota; Viridiplantae; Streptophyta; Bryopsida; Funariales; Funariaceae.
GAGGCUGUGAAAGGGGAGAGCUUGAUGAGACAGAAGUUGAUAAGAGUAGUUGCAGAAUUUGUGUUCGACACAGAAUCUGUGUUUGCCACUACAUUCGACCAAGUUCAUAUGUAGUCCAGAUCAAUUUUUUUGUUGCCAGUGUGAAAAGUCACACAGAUAGAUCUGAGAAUGCCGUGCAAUGUUAUUUCAGCAGCGGAGAAGUCUUCACUUGUAGAUGCGUGACGAGAACAUUUUAUUUGUGGAUUCGGUAGGUUUAACAUGUUGACAAUGGCGAUUGGAGCUGAGUCUCGUCGAAUUUACCAGCUCUAGAAUAAUGCCCCAGAGCAAGACUUCUAGACUUUGGUUUUAACUCCGAUAGUUUAGUAACCGAGGGAGCUAGACUACACAAUAAACGCAGUUUGUAACUAUGAUAAUAUUUGAAUAAUAGAUACUAAUGUUUGCGUUCUGAUUCA